UCAAGUGAAGAAGCGCAUACGGUGGAUGCCUUGGCAGUCAGAGGCGAUGAAAGACGUGGUAGCCUGCGAAAAGCUUCGGGGAGUCGGCAAACAGACUUUGAUCCGGAGAUCUCUGAAUGGGGGAACCCACCUAGGAUAACCUAGGUAUCUUGUACUGAAUCCAUAGGUGCAAGAGGCGAACCAGGGGAACUGAAACAUCUAAGUACCCUGAGGAAAAGAAAUCAACCGAGAUUCCCUUAGUAGUGGCGAGCGAACGGGGAUUAGCCCUUAAGCUUCAUUGAUUUUAGCGGAACGCUCUGGAAAGUGCGGCCAUAGUGGGUGAUAGCCCCGUACGCGAAAGGAUCUUUGAAGUGAAAUCGAGUAGGACGGAGCACGAGAAACUUUGUCUGAACAUGGGGGGACCAUCCUCCAAGGCUAAAUACUACUGACUGACCGAUAGUGAACCAGUACCGUGAGGGAAAGGCGAAAAGAACCCCGGAGAGGGGAGUGAAAUAGAACCUGAAACCGUAUGCGUACAAGCAGUGGGAGCCUACUUGUUAGGUGACUGCGUACCUUUUGUAUAAUGGGUCAGCGACUUAUAUUCAGUGGCAAGCUUAACCGUAUAGGGUAGGCGUAGCGAAAGCGAGUCUUAAUAGGGCGUUUAGUCGCUGGGUAUAGACCCGAAACCGGGCGAUCUAUCCAUGAGCAGGUUGAAGGUUAGGUAACACUGACUGGAGGACCGAACCCACUCCCGUUGAAAAGGUAGGGGAUGACUUGUGGAUCGGAGUGAAAGGCUAAUCAAGCUCGGAGAUAGCUGGUUCUCCUCGAAAGCUAUUUAGGUAGCGCCUCAUGUAUCACUCUGGGGGGUAGAGCACUGUUUCGGCUAGGGGGUCAUCCCGACUUACCAAACCGAUGCAAACUCCGAAUACCCAGAAGUGCCGAGCAUGGGAGACACACGGCGGGUGCUAACGUCCGUCGUGAAAAGGGAAACAACCCAGACCGCCAGCUAAGGUCCCAAAGUUGUGGUUAAGUGGUAAACGAUGUGGGAAGGCUUAGACAGCUAGGAGGUUGGCUUAGAAGCAGCCAUCCUUUAAAGAAAGCGUAAUAGCUCACUAGUCGAGUCGGCCUGCGCGGAAGAUGUAACGGGGCUCAAACCACACACCGAAGCUGCGGGUGUCACGUAAGUGACGCGGUAGAGGAGCGUUCUGUAAGCCUGUGAAGGUGAGUUGAGAAGCUUGCUGGAGGUAUCAGAAGUGCGAAUGCUGACAUGAGUAACGACAAUGGGUGUGAAAAACCCCCACGCCGAAAGACCAAGGGUUCCUGCGCAACGUUAAUCGACGCAGGGUUAGUCGGUUCCUAAGGCGAGGCUGAAAAGCGUAGUCGAUGGGAAACAGGUUAAUAUUCCUGUACUUCUGGUUACUGCGAUGGAGGGACGGAGAAGGCUAGGCCAGCUUGGCGUUGGUUGUCCAAGUUUAAGGUGGUAGGCUGAAAUCUUAGGUAAAUCCGGGGUUUCAAGGCCGAGAGCUGAUGACGAGUCGUCUUUUAGAUGACGAAGUGGUUGAUGCCAUGCUUCCAAGAAAAGCUUCUAAGCUUCAGGUAACCAGGAACCGUACCCCAAACCGACACAGGUGGUCGGGUAGAGAAUACCAAGGCGCUUGAGAGAACUCGGGUGAAGGAACUAGGCAAAAUGGCACCGUAACUUCGGGAGAAGGUGCGCCGGCUAGGGUGAAGGAUUUACUCCGUAAGCUCUGGCUGGUCGAAGAUACCAGGCCGCUGCGACUGUUUAUUAAAAACACAGCACUCUGCAAACACGAAAGUGGACGUAUAGGGUGUGACGCCUGCCCGGUGCCGGAAGGUUAAUUGAUGGGGUUAGCGCAAGCGAAGCUCUUGAUCGAAGCCCCGGUAAACGGCGGCCGUAACUAUAACGGUCCUAAGGUAGCGAAAUUCCUUGUCGGGUAAGUUCCGACCUGCACGAAUGGCGUAACGAUGGCGGCGCUGUCUCCACCCGAGACUCAGUGAAAUUGAAAUCGCUGUGAAGAUGCAGUGUAUCCGCGGCUAGACGGAAAGACCCCGUGAACCUUUACUGUAGCUUUGCACUGGACUUUGAGCCUGCUUGUGUAGGAUAGGUGGGAGGCUUUGAAGCGUGGACGCCAGUUCGCGUGGAGCCAUCCUUGAAAUACCACCCUGGCAUGCUUGAGGUUCUAACUCUGGUCCGUGAUCCGGAUCGAGGACAGUGUAUGGUGGGCAGUUUGACUGGGGCGGUCUCCUCCUAAAGAGUAACGGAGGAGUACGAAGGUGCGCUCAGACCGGUCGGAAAUCGGUCGUAGAGUAUAAAGGCAAAAGCGCGCUUGACUGCGAGACAGACACGUCGAGCAGGUACGAAAGUAGGUCUUAGUGAUCCGGUGGUUCUGUAUGGAAGGGCCAUCGCUCAACGGAUAAAAGGUACUCCGGGGAUAACAGGCUGAUACCGCCCAAGAGUUCAUAUCGACGGCGGUGUUUGGCACCUCGAUGUCGGCUCAUCACAUCCUGGGGCUGAAGCCGGUCCCAAGGGUAUGGCUGUUCGCCAUUUAAAGUGGUACGCGAGCUGGGUUUAGAACGUCGUGAGACAGUUCGGUCCCUAUCUGCCGUGGACGUUUGAGAUUUGAGAGGGGCUGCUCCUAGUACGAGAGGACCGGAGUGGACGAACCUCUGGUGUUCCGGUUGUCACGCCAGUGGCAUUGCCGGGUAGCUAUGUUCGGAAAAGAUAACCGCUGAAAGCAUCUAAGCGGGAAACUUGCCUCAAGAUGAGAUCUCACUGGGAACUUGAUUCCCCUGAAGGGCCGUCGAAGACUACGACGUUGAUAGGCUGGGUGUGUAAGCGUUGUGAGGCGUUGAGCUAACCAGUACUAAUUGCCCGUGAGGCUUGACCAC
This 2889-nucleotide ribosomal RNA is filed under the name Pseudomonas aeruginosa CF18. RNAcentral describes it as "bacterial LSU rRNA". It matches the Rfam family "Bacterial large subunit ribosomal RNA". The record is from RNAcentral. Lineage: Bacteria; Pseudomonadati; Pseudomonadota; Gammaproteobacteria; Pseudomonadales; Pseudomonadaceae.